Drosophila pseudoobscura is the source of this 697-nucleotide long non-coding RNA. RefSeq lists it as uncharacterized. The record is from RefSeq and is a predicted model, not a curated record. Lineage: Eukaryota; Metazoa; Arthropoda; Insecta; Diptera; Drosophilidae. The transcript is spliced from 2 exons.
GAGGCGGAGGCAGUCGUGGUUUGCCUGGUCGGACGUCGAAUCGGACGUCUAAUGAAAGCAAAUGCCGACGGGCUGGCUGCAUUUAAAGAUAAUGAAUUGCGAUAUAGAUAAACAUACUUGUAAAUAAAACCGGAUCGUGAUAACGUUUACCGUUUGAGUCCAAGAGCUUUUUUAAUAAACAGGACUACUUCAUUAAGCAUUUAUACUCGUACUUCUAAAUAAAAUAGGUAAUGGAUUAUCGUUUAUGAGAUCAUCCAGCAUCCUCCAGUUUAUAAACAAACUAUUCGCUCAAUUUACACUCGAUUCCCCCGAAUGAUUAGCGCCGGCUAUCAACGGACAUUCAAUCAUUCAGUCAGUCCCCUGUGAAUCAUGCUCCAUUAAUAAUAUGGCACUUAAUAAGCUGCAGUAAUUUGUUAGAAACGAAGCAGAACAGAACAGAGCACAGGACAGUAGCAUUUUCCCCCCAAGAGAAGACACCACAAACAAAUGGACGGCAUACCUUGGCAUACCGAACAAACAAUAUCUGACACGCAUGGAAAUAUUUGUAUAAUUUAUGCCUACCUAAAUGCCCCAGAGGCGAUCCCUUUAAAUACAUAGAUAUAUGUAUGGCGAUCUGCAUCUAUUCUAUAUGCCCUGGGCCUCGGUCUCGGGUCUUCAUAAUUUGUUUGUUUAAAAAUAAAAUAGAAAUUCACAUAGA